This is a long non-coding RNA of Selaginella moellendorffii, 320 nucleotides long. RefSeq lists it as uncharacterized. NCBI's taxonomy places the organism in Eukaryota, Viridiplantae, Streptophyta, Lycopodiopsida, Selaginellales, Selaginellaceae. The record is from RefSeq and is a predicted model, not a curated record. The transcript has 3 exons.
UGCGGAGAUUUCUCUUCCCUGCGCCUUCGAUCUUGCAAUGCGAAGCGCGCGGGCCUGCGUUUGUGAGGCAUCUGGUCGAAAUAUCUUAGAUCCUUUGGAAAAUCUUCUAGGUCGUGUGAUUUCUCUGUGAUUCUUGGGGCGCAUUGUGAGAAACUCGCCCUGUGACGGCGUAUUUUUGCGAGAAUUCUUUCCUGGUGUGUCGCAGUGGAAUUCUAGAGAGGUUGUACUGUGGAGUGUGGAGCUUAUACUAGUGUAAGAAAGAUAAAAGAGGGAGCUCACGAGGAGAAUGUGAAUUAAAGUAGCAUCGUCUUGUGACUGAU